UCGAAAUUGCAAUCUACUAGUAUAAAUAUAUUGAUGGAACUCCAUUAAGCACUGAAGAAAGUAUAAAAGCUACUAAAAAGGAAAUGAACAACAAAAUUUUGAAGAAAACAGAAGAUAGCUGUCUUUAUUGAACAUGGGAGGGUGAGAAAUGGAAAGACAGUGAAAUAGAUUAACUUUCCAAUCACAAUAUUAUCUGUUUAAAAUUAUUAGGUCAAUAUCCUAAGUUGCUCUAUAAACUAUGAUGUACUGGACUUGGGUGCCACGCAAAUGUCCAAGAUAACCAGACAGAAAGGAAGGGUAUGCUGAAAAAGUUAUCAUCCAAUGCAAAAUUAAUUAGUUCUGGUUUAUUUUAAUCCCUCUAAAAUUAAUAAACAGUAAAUCAGAUCAGAAAGAAAGGGUAUGGUGAACAAGAUGCAGCAAGAUAUCUUUCUCCAGCUCAUUAGUGAAUCAGUAAGGAGAAUGCAGACAAGAGCUUGAAAGAAAGUACCUGCUUCAAGGGAAGAACAAGGAAACUUAUAAUGGCAGAAAAUAUGCAGCAAGAAAAGUGGAAAAAAACACAUAAGAGGGUACAUUUUUGAAUGACAUGCAUACCUUACUUUUUCUUUGAAAUAAGUAGGAUAUGGUGGUAUUUAA
Molecule: long non-coding RNA, 633 nt
Organism: Telopea speciosissima
Lineage: Eukaryota; Viridiplantae; Streptophyta; Magnoliopsida; Proteales; Proteaceae
Exons: 2
Source: RefSeq, a predicted model, not a curated record